Microtus ochrogaster (prairie vole) is the source of this 107-nucleotide small nuclear RNA. The record is from Ensembl. Lineage: Eukaryota; Metazoa; Chordata; Mammalia; Rodentia; Cricetidae.
AUGUUCAGUUCAGCAGUUCAUCUCCUACAAGCAGAAUGACACAGGGAAGAUUAGCACGGCCCCCGUGCAAGGAGGCCAUGCAAAUUGAUACAGCAUUCAACAUUUGG